UAAGCCGUUGAAGGUGAAUCGUAAGGUUUGCUGGAGGUAUCAGAAGUGCGAAUGCUGACAUGAGUAACGACAAAGGGGGUGAAAAACCUCCUCGCCGGAAGACCAAGGGUUCCUGUCCAACGUUAAUCGGGGCAGGGUGAGUCGACCCCUAAGGUGAGGCCGAAAGGCGUAAUCGAUGGGAAACGGGUUAAUAUUCCCGUACUUCUGACUAUUGCGAUGGGGGGACGGAGAAGGCUAGGUGGGCCAGGCGACGGUUGUCCUGGUUCAAGUGCGUAGGCUUGAGAGUUAGGUAAAUCCGGCUCUCUCUAAGGCUGAGACACGACGUCGAGCUGCUACGGCAGUGAAGUCAUUGAUGCCAUGCUUCCAGGAAAAGCCUCUAAGCUUCAGAUAGUCAGGAAUCGUACCCCAAACCGACACAGGUGGUCGGGUAGAGAAUACCAAGGCGCUUGAGAGAACUCGGGUGAAGGAACUAGGCAAAAUGGUACCGUAACUUCGGGAGAAGGUAC
This 506-nucleotide ribosomal RNA is filed under the name Vibrio cholerae. Its description in RNAcentral is "partial 23S ribosomal RNA". It matches the Rfam family "Bacterial large subunit ribosomal RNA", at positions 1243 to 1749 of the family's 2925-position model. Lineage: Bacteria; Pseudomonadati; Pseudomonadota; Gammaproteobacteria; Vibrionales; Vibrionaceae. The record is from RNAcentral.